CAGCCGCCGCGGGAAUACGGAGGAUCCGAGCGUUAUCCGGAAUUAUUGGGUUUAAAGGGUGCGUAGGCGGAUAGAUAAGUCAGUGGUGAAAGACGGUGGCUCAACCAUCGCAGUGCCGUUGAUACUGUUUAUCUUGAAUAUGGAUGAGGUAGGCGGAAUGUGGCAAGUAGCGGUGAAAUGCAUAAAUAUGCCACAGAACACCGAUUGCGAAGGCAGCUUACCAAGGCAAAAUUGACGCUGAGGCACGAAAGCGUGGGGAUCGAACAGGAUUAGAUACCCGGGUAGUCCCUGUCUCUUAUAC
Molecule: ribosomal RNA, 301 nt
Filed under: uncultured bacterium
Lineage: Bacteria
Description: partial 16S ribosomal RNA
Rfam family: Bacterial small subunit ribosomal RNA
Source: RNAcentral